Molecule: ribosomal RNA, 497 nt
Filed under: uncultured bacterium
Lineage: Bacteria
Description: partial 16S ribosomal RNA
Rfam family: Bacterial small subunit ribosomal RNA
Source: RNAcentral
GAUGAACGCUGGCGGCGUGCCUAAUACAUGCAAGUCGAGCGAACGGACGAGAAGCUUGCUUCUCUGAUGUUAGCGGCGGACGGGUGAGUAACACGUGGAUAACCUACCUAUAAGACUGGGAUAACUUCGGGAAACCGGAGCUAAUACCGGAUAAUAUUUUGAACCGCAUGGUUCAAAAGUGAAAGACGGUCUUGCUGUCACUUAUAGAUGGAUCCGCGCUGCAUUAGCUAGUUGGUAAGGUAACGGCUUACCAAGGCAACGAUGCAUAGCCGACCUGAGAGGGUGAUCGGCCACACUGGAACUGAGACACGGUCCAGACUCCUACGGGAGGCAGCAGUAGGGAACCUUCCGCAAUGGGCGAAAGCCUGACGGAGCAACGCCGCGUGAGUGAUGAAGGUCUUCGGAUCGUAAAACUCUGUUAUUAGGGAAGACCAUAUGUGUAAGUAAAUGUGCACAUCUUGACGGUACCUAAUCAGAAAGCCACGGCUAACUACGUG